AAUAGAUACCCUGGUAGUCCACGCCGUAAACGAUGUCGACUUGGAGGUUGUUCCCUUGAGGAGUGGCUUCCGGAGCUAACGCGUUAAGUCGACCGCCUGGGGAGUACGGCCGCAAGGUUAAAACUCAAAUGAAUUGACGGGGGCCCGCACAAGCGGUGGAGCAUGUGGUUUAAUUCGAUGCAACGCGAAGAACCUUACCUACUCUUGACAUCCACGGAACUUUUCAGAGAUGAAUUGGUGCCUUCGGGAACCGUGAGACAGGUGCUGCAUGGCUGUCGUCAGCUCGUGUUGUGAAAUGUUGGGUUAAGUCCCGCAACGAGCGCAUCCCUUAUCCUUUGUUGCCAGCGGUUAGGCCGGGAACUCAAAGGAGACUGCCAGUGAUAAACUGGAGGAAGGUGGGGAUGACGUCAAGUCAUCAUGGCCCUUACGAGUAGGGCUACACACGUGCUACAAUGGCGCAUACAAAGAGAAGCGACCUCGCGAGAGCAAGCGGACCUCAUAAAGUGCGUCGUAGUCCGGAUUGGAGU
This 527-nucleotide ribosomal RNA is filed under the name uncultured bacterium. RNAcentral describes it as "bacterial SSU rRNA". It matches the Rfam family "Bacterial small subunit ribosomal RNA", at positions 777 to 1304 of the family's 1533-position model. The record is from RNAcentral.